UACGGGGGGUGCAAGCGUUGUUCGGAUUUAUUGGGCGUAAAGCGCGUGUAGGCGGUUUGUUAAGUCUGUUGUGAAAGCCCUGGGCUCAACCCGGGAAGUGCACUGGAUACUGGUAGACUUGAAUACGGGAGAGGAGAGUGGAAUUCCUGGUGUAGCGGUGGAAUGCGCAGAUAUCAGGAGGAACACCAACGGCGAAGGCAGCUCGCUGGGACGGUACUGACGCUGAGGCGCGAAAGCCAGGGGAGCAAACAGG
Molecule: ribosomal RNA, 253 nt
Filed under: uncultured bacterium
Lineage: Bacteria
Description: partial 16S ribosomal RNA
Rfam family: Bacterial small subunit ribosomal RNA
Source: RNAcentral